AGUCGAGCGAACGGACGAGAAGCUUGCUUCUCUGAUGUUAGCGGCGGACGGGUGAGUAACACGUGGAUAACCUACCUAUAAGACUGGGAUAACUUCGGGAAACCGGAGCUAAUACCGGAUAAUAUUUUGAACCGCAUGGUUCAAAAGUGAAAGACGGUCUUGCUGUCACUUAUAGAUGGAUCCGCGCUGCAUUAGCUAGUUGGUAAGGUAACGGCUUACCAAGGCAACGAUGCAUAGCCGACCUGAGAGGGUGAUCGGCCACACUGGAACUGA
Molecule: ribosomal RNA, 273 nt
Filed under: Staphylococcus aureus
Lineage: Bacteria; Bacillati; Bacillota; Bacilli; Caryophanales; Staphylococcaceae
Description: partial 16S ribosomal RNA
Rfam family: Bacterial small subunit ribosomal RNA
Source: RNAcentral